ACGGCCAUACCACAUUGAAAACAUUGGUUCUCAUCUGCUCACCGAAAUUGAGCAAUGUCGGGCCUGGUCAGUACUUAGAAGUUGGUUUUCGACCGCUACAACCCGGGUUCGAUUCCCGCAUUGGGCACUUUUUUCUGCUUAAAA
This is a non-coding RNA of Cordylochernes scorpioides, 144 nucleotides long. The record is from the annotation of a GenBank genome assembly. Lineage: Eukaryota; Metazoa; Arthropoda; Arachnida; Pseudoscorpiones; Chernetidae.